Molecule: ribosomal RNA, 438 nt
Filed under: Escherichia coli
Lineage: Bacteria; Pseudomonadati; Pseudomonadota; Gammaproteobacteria; Enterobacterales; Enterobacteriaceae
Description: bacterial LSU rRNA
Rfam family: Bacterial large subunit ribosomal RNA
Source: RNAcentral
UCCUGACUGACCGAUAGUGAACCAGUACCGUGAGGGAAAGGCGAAAAGAACCCCGGCGAGGGGAGUGAAAAAGAACCUGAAACCGUGUACGUACAAGCAGUGGGAGCCUCUUAAUGGGGUGACUGCGUACCUUUUGUAUAAUGGGUCAGCGACUUAUAUUCUGUAGCAAGGUUAACCGAAUAGGGGAGCCGAAGGGAAACCGAGUCUUAACUGGGCGUUAAGUUGCAGGGUAUAGACCCGAAACCCGGUGAUCUAGCCAUGGGCAGGUUGAAGGUUGGGUAACACUAACUGGAGGACCGAACCGACUAAUGUUGAAAAAUUAGCGGAUGACUUGUGGCUGGGGGUGAAAGGCCAAUCAAACCGGGAGAUAGCUGGUUCUCCCCGAAAGCUAUUUAGGUAGCGCCUCGUGAAUUCAUCUCCGGGGGUAGAGCACUGUUU